RNAcentral lists this ribosomal RNA (505 nucleotides) under uncultured bacterium. RNAcentral's name for it is "partial 16S ribosomal RNA". It matches the Rfam family "Bacterial small subunit ribosomal RNA", at positions 28 to 506 of the family's 1533-position model. The record is from RNAcentral.
GACGAACGCUGGCGGCGUGCUUAACACAUGCAAGUCGAACGGUGAAGGGACUGGUUUUGCUGGUCCUGGAUGAGUGGCGAACGGGUGAGUAACACGUGAGUAACCUGCCCCCUUCUUCUGGAUAACCGCAUGAAAGUGUGGCUAAUACGGGAUAUUCUGGGUCUGUCGCAUGGUGGGCCUGGGAAAGAUUGCGCCUUUUUUGGUGUUUUUGGUGGGGGAUGGGCUCGCGGCCUAUCAGCUUGUUGGUGGGGUGAUGGCCUACCAAGGCGGUGACGGGUAGCCGGCCUGAGAGGGUGGACGGUCACACUGGGACUGAGACACGGCCCAGACUCCUACGGGAGGCAGCAGUGGGGAAUAUUGCACAAUGGGCGCAAGCCUGAUGCAGCGACGCCGCGUGAGGGAUGGAGGCCUUCGGGUUGUGAACCUCUUUCGCCAGUGAAGCAGGCCUGCCUCUUUUUGUGGGUGGGUUGACGGGAGCUGGAUAAGAAGCGCCGGCUAACUACGU